GCCCAGAUAGCUCAGUUGGUAGAGCAGGGGACUGAAAAUCCCCGUGUCGGUGGUUCGAUUCCACCUUUGGGCACCA
Molecule: transfer RNA, 76 nt
Filed under: Calorimonas adulescens
Lineage: Bacteria; Bacillati; Bacillota; Clostridia; Thermoanaerobacterales; Thermoanaerobacteraceae
Description: Thermoanaerobacteraceae bacterium A05MB tRNA-Phe
Rfam family: tRNA
About the family: Transfer RNA (tRNA) molecules are approximately 80 nucleotides in length. Their secondary structure includes four short double-helical elements and three loops (D, anti-codon, and T loops).
Source: RNAcentral